UCUAUUUGAUUAGAAAGCAUGCUUGGACUUGAAACCAGUCAGUAAGUCAGCAUGGUAGUGAGUUAUUUCAGAUUUGUUCGGAUUGUGUGUUGCGAAUUACGAUUGUAUUUGUGAUGGAAUAGUUACAUUAUGGUGGAUAUUUUGUAAAGAUGAUGCUCUAAUUAAGGUUGGGCUAUUUCCUUCAACCUCUUUAGCUGCCCCUCUGAUCCUGUAGGACUACGAUGAUGGGAUUUCCGGUGAAGCCCAAUAAGUAGAAAUCUUCAUGAAAUAAGCGUCAUAAUUCCAGCAGAAUUCUUCAGUGUGAGUAAAAACAACUUGUGAAACCGAAGAGAGAUAUAUGGCUGUUAUACCGGAAUAAUCAAUUCGCAAUGAAGGAGGGAAUAAUC
Long non-coding RNA from Agrilus planipennis (emerald ash borer), 386 nucleotides. RefSeq lists it as uncharacterized. The transcript is spliced from 4 exons. The record is from RefSeq and is a predicted model, not a curated record. NCBI's taxonomy places the organism in Eukaryota, Metazoa, Arthropoda, Insecta, Coleoptera, Buprestidae.